Molecule: non-coding RNA, 1155 nt
Organism: Peromyscus maniculatus bairdii (prairie deer mouse)
Lineage: Eukaryota; Metazoa; Chordata; Mammalia; Rodentia; Cricetidae
Source: RefSeq, a predicted model, not a curated record
AUCAGAUGCUCUCCUGUGAUCCCAGCUACAAGGAGGCUGAGCCAGGAAGAUCUAAAGUUCACCCUUGCUGCCUGGACUACAUAAGGACAAGCCUUUCCACCUUAGCAGCCAGAGAAUCAGAGGCAGGGGCGGGGUCACGACCUUUAGCAAGUUUUUCUAUCUUUACCUGUGUAUCAAAGUUCCCAUAAGUCUCCGGCGACAGGGAAUCAGGAGUGUCUUUUGUCAUGAGCUGUGGAAGGGGGCAUUGUGAUGAGCUAGGCUCUCUGAUAGAACCUUCAAGGCUUCUGAGGAUCAGCCAAGGAACCUCUCUCCUGCCCCUCCCCAAGGCUAGUUUAGCCUGAUAAGUCCUGCCAAGAGGCUCCCUCCAAUGCAGAAAAAGGCCAACACUUCUGAGGCUACAGGGUUCUGACUUACAGCCAACAUACAGAGAUGUGGAACUUCUGAGUUCUAGGCAGAGGACAGACCUUACCAGGCAGGGCAGGAGCUGUGCCCAGUUGCCCAAUGUCCCCUCCCCUGACACUUCUGGAUUGCCCCAAGGGAUGCUCUCACCUACCUCCUGGAUGGCUUCCAUCACUACAUGUUGAACAGAUUCCUCCAGUGUCAUAAUUCUCUGGAUAUAUUCUGGGGAUGAAGGUGGAGGCGAGAGGCUGAGACCAGACACAGCACAGCCCAGUACCAACUGAAGCAGUUUGCCGAGCUCUGCAGGAUCUGAGAGUUCACCAAUGAGGCUGACAUCUGGAAGGUGCUGUUCGGAUACAGGAUGCCCCAGGACCUGAGAACACACAGAGGAGACGUCAGGACACAUUGAACUGACUCCUAACCCAGUCCCAAACCCCUUUGCAGUACUCACAUCCUUUGAGUAUUCCAUCAAGCUCUGUAAGAUCUUCUCCAGUUUCCUGACCUGUUGAGGCCAAGGAGUUACCUACAAAUGGAGGUCUAGAGCAGUGCCCCCAAAUCUGUCCUCACUCGCCCCCCCCUUCAAUUUCCUUUCCCUGCUUAUCCCCUAGUUGUUUGGUCCUGUUCUAAAUAUCCUUCUCCUCUAGGGCUGACCUGCAUUGCCUGUCCUCGGUGUUUACCUCACCAUCUUUAUUCACAAGUCCCAGAAUCCAGUGGUUUCUCACUACCUGGCACUACUAAUGUCAUAUCUCACUUGGA